Molecule: long non-coding RNA, 492 nt
Organism: Lactuca sativa (garden lettuce)
Lineage: Eukaryota; Viridiplantae; Streptophyta; Magnoliopsida; Asterales; Asteraceae
Source: RefSeq, a predicted model, not a curated record
GGCCUUUCAAUGGUUCAAUCUGAUUUCAAGAAAUGCUCCACGAUCCAUUACGGUUGAAAUCUAAAGCUUGGAGCUUCGGUUCUCAGUUAACCCGACCAAUACGACAAUACCCAAUUACCCAUUUCAAUUUUUCGCCAUUAAAAUUCUAAACCCUAGAAAGAAUCUCAAGCGGGGAUUUGUGUUUGUGUGUGUGUGCGCGAUCGCGCAUUAGCAGAUAGUAUGUUCAAUCGAAGGAGGUUCCUGUCGCUUCCCAUGGUUAUUGGAGCUGUUGUUAUUGGAAUUGUCUCUGGAAAAGCUAUAUUUGGACCUCCUGUGGAUGAAUAUUGGAAGAAAAAGCUCGAGGAAGAAACAGCUAAGAAAGAAAACGACACCGCUUCAUCUUAACAUUUUUCUUUUUAAGGGAAUACAAGAAGUUCAACAAGCAUAAAUUUGUUGAAAGUGUAACAAGAACUAAAAACAUGUAAAUUAAUGAGCUAAGUGUUUAUUUUUCUA